This 380-nucleotide ribosomal RNA is filed under the name uncultured bacterium. Its description in RNAcentral is "bacterial SSU rRNA". It matches the Rfam family "Bacterial small subunit ribosomal RNA", at positions 30 to 410 of the family's 1533-position model. The record is from RNAcentral.
AUUGAACGCUGGCGGCAUGCCUUACACAUGCAAGUCGAACGGCAGCACGGGAGCAAUCCUGGUGGCGAGUGGCGAACGGGUGAGUAAUAUAUCGGAACGUGCCCGGUCGUGGGGGAUAACGUAGCGAAAGCUACGCUAAUACCGCAUACGAUCUACGGAUGAAANCGGGGGAUCGCAAGACCUCGCGCGAUUGGAGCGGCCGAUAUCAGAUUAGGUAGUUGGUGAGGUAAAGGCUCACCAAGCCGACGAUCUGUAGCUGGUCUGNGAGGACGACCAGCCACACUGGGACUGAGACACGGCCCAGACUCCUACGGGAGGCAGCAGUGGGGAAUUUUGGACAAUGGGCGCAAGCCUGAUCCAGCAAUGCCGCGUGCAGGAUG